GACGAACGCUGGCGGCGUGCUUAACACAUGCAAGUCGAACGGAAAGGCCCUGCCUUUGUGGGGUGCUUGAGUGGCGAACGGGUGAGACACAAGUGAGUAACCUGCCCUUGACUUUGGGAUAACUUCAGGAAACUGGGGCUAUUACCGGAUAGGAGUUCCUCAUGCUUGGUGGGGGUUGGAACGUUGCGGCGGUUGGGGAUGGACUGGCGGCUUAUCUGCUUGUGGGGGGGGUAGUGGCUUACCAGGGCUCUGAGGGGUAGCCGGCCUGGGGGGGGGACCGGCCACAUUGGGACUGGAAUACGGCCCGGACUCCUCCGGGGGGCAGCGGGGGGGAAAAUUGCACAAGGGGCGGAAGCCGAAUGCAGCAACGCCGCGGGCGGGAGAACGGCCUUCGGGUGGAAAACCGCUUUCGCCGGGAACGAGGCGUGAGUGACGGUAAUGGGUAAAGAAGCACCGGCUAACUACGUG
This 468-nucleotide ribosomal RNA is filed under the name uncultured bacterium. Its description in RNAcentral is "partial 16S ribosomal RNA". It matches the Rfam family "Bacterial small subunit ribosomal RNA", at positions 28 to 507 of the family's 1533-position model. The record is from RNAcentral.